This 61-nucleotide transfer RNA is filed under the name Tettigades undata. Its description in RNAcentral is "tRNA-Leu". Lineage: Eukaryota; Metazoa; Arthropoda; Insecta; Hemiptera; Cicadidae. The record is from RNAcentral.
UCUAAUAUGGCAGAUUAGUGCAAUGAAUUUAAGAUUCAUAAAUAAAAGUUUUUUGUUAGAA